Molecule: ribosomal RNA, 200 nt
Filed under: uncultured bacterium
Lineage: Bacteria
Description: partial 16S ribosomal RNA
Rfam family: Bacterial small subunit ribosomal RNA
Source: RNAcentral
AGAGUUUGAUCCUGGCUCAGGAUGAACGCUAGCGGCAGGCUUAAUACAUGCAAGUCGUGGGGCAUCGCGGGUAGCAAUACCUGGCGGCGACCGGCAAACGGGUGCGGAACACGUACGCAACUUUCCUUUAAGCGGGGAAUAGCCCAGGGAAACUUGGAUUAAUACCCCAUAAUACAAUUGGGUGGCAUCACUUGAUUGUU